Molecule: ribosomal RNA, 122 nt
Filed under: Streptomyces alkaliphilus
Lineage: Bacteria; Bacillati; Actinomycetota; Actinomycetes; Kitasatosporales; Streptomycetaceae
Description: partial 16S ribosomal RNA
Rfam family: Bacterial small subunit ribosomal RNA
Source: RNAcentral
GAAGCCGGUGGCCCAACCCCUUGUGGGAGGGAGCCGUCGAAGGUGGGACUGGCGAUUGGGACGAAGUCGUAACAAGGUAGCCGUACCGGAAGGUGCGGCUGGAUCACCUCCUUUCUAAGGAG